GUUAAAUAUCCUUAGGCCAUGAUCCUGUCACCNUAGGUCGAUCGGUACCUCAGAUUAAAUUGUCAAAAUGAUCAGAUUAUUUGCUUCUUUUUCUAUAUUUAAUUUCAGUUCCUAAACUUUGUCUAGGUCACACCUCGCAAGGGUUCCUCCUGGGCCAUUAGCUCAGGUGGUUAGAGCGCACCCCUGAUAAGGGUGAGGUCCCUGGUUCAAGUCCAGGAUGGCCCAUUCUCGACUCUGGGGGUUUAGCUCAGUUGGUAGAGCGCCUGCUUUGCAAGCAGGAUGUCAGCGGUUCGAGUCCGCUAACCUCCACUGACCUACCUCCUACAGCGACCCAAAUUAGAGGACCAUUGUGUGAUGUGAUUUAGAAAAUUCCGCUGAUAGAACCCAGCAUCCUUUCAUCCCUAACUUAAAAUAGUAAGGUUGUAAGGACGCUGGGCUCACUGCAAUUGUUCAAAUUGCAAGUAAGUUCAGUAGAACCUUGACAACUGCAUAGGUGAGUCUGGAAAGAAUAAAGCAUCUCAUGGAUGCAUUUCAUUCCUAGCUAAUUAAAGAUGUUACUGAAAGGUAUUCAACUUUAAUUACUAAUUAAUGGAAUAUGUAUUCUUGAGUCAAGAGCCGAGACUCUAUAUCGUACUUUAUUGUCUUUUAUAGAUCUUUAGAGUUUGAUUUGUUAUUCAAACUGAUAUCAAUACUCAAGCUUUCAGUUAAUUCUGAUUUGAAUAUUUUAAUAUCAAGUGAAUGACUUAGAAAUACGUGUUCAACCACGUUUAGCGAUGUAGAGAUUAAUUGGUCAAGCUACAA
RNAcentral lists this transfer RNA (801 nucleotides) under uncultured Prochlorococcus sp. Its description in RNAcentral is "partial 16S-23S ribosomal RNA intergenic spacer; may also contain 16S ribosomal RNA and 23S ribosomal RNA". The stretch from base 237 to 309 matches the Rfam family "tRNA". The record is from RNAcentral. Lineage: Bacteria; Bacillati; Cyanobacteriota; Cyanophyceae; Synechococcales; Prochlorococcaceae.